AUACGUAGGGGGCGAGCGUUAUCCGGAAUUAUUGGGCGUAAAGGGUGCGUAGGCGGUUUUUUAAGCGCGGGGUGAAAGGCAAUAGCUUAACUAUUGUUAGCCCUGCGAACUGGGAGACUUGAGUGCAGGAGAGGAGAAGGGAAUUCCUAGUGUAGCGGUGAAAUGCGUAGAGAUUAGGAAGAACACCAGUGGCGAAGGCGCUUCUCUGGACUGUAACUGUCACUGAGGCACGAAAGCGUGGGGAGC
RNAcentral lists this ribosomal RNA (246 nucleotides) under uncultured bacterium. RNAcentral describes it as "partial 16S ribosomal RNA". It matches the Rfam family "Bacterial small subunit ribosomal RNA", at positions 523 to 769 of the family's 1533-position model. The record is from RNAcentral.